This 122-nucleotide non-coding RNA is filed under the name uncultured Agathobaculum sp. Its description in RNAcentral is "FMN riboswitch (RFN element)". It matches the Rfam family "FMN riboswitch aptamer (RFN element)". Rfam says of the family: The RFN element is a highly conserved domain that is found frequently in the 5'-untranslated regions of prokaryotic mRNAs that encode for flavin mononucleotide (FMN) biosynthesis and transport proteins. This element is a metabolite-dependent riboswitch that directly binds FMN in the absence of proteins. In Bacillus subtilis, the riboswitch most likely controls gene expression by causing premature transcription termination within the 5' untranslated region of the ribDEAHT operon and precluding access to the ribosome-binding site of ypaA mRNA. Lineage: Bacteria; Bacillati; Bacillota; Clostridia; Eubacteriales; Butyricicoccaceae. The record is from RNAcentral.
UUCUUCAGGGCAGGGUGAAAUUCCCUACCGGCGGUAAAGCCCGCGAGCGAGUGUCGAUUUUCGGCAUGAGCAUGAUCUGGUGAAACUCCAGGGCCGACAGUAAAGUCUGGAUAAAAGAAGAA